This 2758-nucleotide long non-coding RNA is filed under the name Salvia miltiorrhiza (redroot sage). Its description in RNAcentral is "long non-coding RNA (SMIL_LNC007345)". Lineage: Eukaryota; Viridiplantae; Streptophyta; Magnoliopsida; Lamiales; Lamiaceae. The record is from RNAcentral.
GAGAAUUAGGGUUUCCGGAGGGAGAGGAGACGAGAUUGAAAGCGGCUGUGUUUGAUAAUAGGUUAGUUUAAGCGUGUUUGUUUAAUUAACUAGCGUUUUUUCGGUGUUUGAUGAAAAGGGAAAGCCCGCUGCUAAACUACUGUUCAUCCUCGAUUGUGUGUUUAAAAUUUUGGAUUCCGAAUUUGCCCUCCCAAUUUUGUACAUAAAAUUCGGUUCCUCUUAUUGACGGCGAAUUUGUUCUUCAUUCAUCGCCGAUCUGGUAAGCCGUUUUCUCUUCAUUCAUGGCAUACAUUCCGAUGAAGGAACGAUUCUAGUGGUAGCUCUGAAAUUAGGGUUUUAUGUUGAAAAUUUGAAAUAGUAUGAUGUGGGUUAAUUUUUCAAUUCGAUUUCUCUCUGUCGUCUGUAAUGAAACACAAAAGAGUAUGAAAAACGCGUCGACAUUACUGGUAUCGACGGCUUCGUGUGCUCUUCGUUCGCCGGAAGUUUUGUAAAAAAAAACGAUUCUUUUCUUGAAUUGAUGAAAUUUCCCUAUUUUUGCAAUUUCUUGUAUAUUGGGGGUUUUGGGUGUUGGAGGCGACGGGCUGCAGGCAACGAGAGGGUUGAUAUAUUAUAACACCUUAAUUGUUGAAAUACUUUGAGUUGAUUUUGUUGGAGUUGUUGCGAGCUGCAUUUGGGGGGAAGUGGUUUCCAAUGUGUUUAUGCAGAAGGAAUAUGAGAGAAUGGUGAUGGCACUUUGUUUGUAAUAGGAUGAUUUUGUUUGUGAAAAUUAAGAAUUUGUUUUUUUUGGUUAUGUGAAGCUAUGUAUGCUCUGUUUAGAAGCUUAUUUGAUGGGACUGUAUUUUCAAUUCCGGUGGAAAUUGAGUUGGGAAUUUGUUAACUUUGGAAUUAGAAACGAUAGAGCUGAACUAUUGAUGAGAUGUUUGGAUGAGAAUUAAUUGGGUUGUGUAUGGAGAAGGGGGUUGCAUUUUUGAGAGUGUAGGUUGAAGGGCAUAUUUCGUGGGUUUCAGGCUAUUUUUCUGUAAUUCAUUCAUAAUUUGAUUUGGUUUUGCAGUGAAUGAAUCAGCUCAAGAACAUGUGUCGUCUGCUGAGAAACAUAUUCCAGAGGGUGGCGCUAUUACUGAAAAUGGAAAAUUCUAUCGUGCCACUGCUUCAAUGCAGCUUGCACCGUUAUGAUUGAGACACGUGUAAUGUCAAAAAAAAGAAAAAAAGAGGUAACCGUGGUUUGGCUGGCUGCCCGAGGAAAAAAUUGCAGAAAUUUUCACCCGAAGAAGAAAUUGGAUCCCUGUCUGAGAUACGUCGAGAAAUUUUGGCCGAGAGCAACAUUGUUCAACGGCGAAUUUGGCGCUGAAUCCGAAUAUGUUUUCAGAUUCAAGAACGAUGGCGUAUAGAAGAAGUGCCUGAGAGUUUCGGUGAGGCGAUCACUGUUUCGGCGAAGGGCUCUCGAUAUUUGCGCCAGAUUUUUCAACGGGAACAUGAUGGUGAGUCGGAAAAAUAGUUUCUGAAUUAUUGUAUUUUUGUAUUUUGUUCGAAAUGGUGUUUUAUGUUUGAAUUUGUUAUUUUAUAAUGAAUUUGUUUCCAAUAAUUGGUCCUUCUUCGUCUUCUUGAGUGCAUCGCCGUGGUGGAGGUGCCUCUUUCGCCUCUCCUUCUCUCUGCCGACCUCACCUACUCCGAUUUCCUCAAUCCCUCUUUUCUCUCUCUAAAGAUCCAAUUUUGCUCAAGGGUUUUUGAUUGUGUAGCGUUCCAGCCGUUAGCUCGUUAGUAUUUCGAAGGUGCUGAUCUCGGCUUUCGUUUUGAUGCCUCUCUUCGCAAUUUACACUAUGAUGUACUGAAUCGUUGGUCUGGCGGUUUGCUUAUUUUGAUGGUAGUUUGAAUUGAAUAUUGGUUGAUGAUUUUCUGAAACUCGUGUAUAGGUUUAAUGUGUGCUUUUCUAGUCAACGAACAGGAAAUUUCUAUCUUACCUUUAUGGGAAUUCUCUUAUUCAACUUUUUGCAUGUCUUCUUUGCAACAUUAAAGACACUCUUGAAUCCCUUGAAGCGCAGCUGUCUUCUUUGCAGGUUCUAUUUCUGUAACAUUUUCAUUAUUUUAGGUUUUGGUAUAGUGAUUUGGGGGUUUACUAGGUGGACCUUAAUGUGGAUUCUUGGAAGUUUUCAGUUGGUUUUUCGUUUCUUGUAUCAAUUUAGAAACUGGCAAUUCUAGGAUUUUGCGAAUACUAGUAAUCGAGUUUGUUAUUCUUGAAUGGCUAAUUAUAUUUGAAGAAUUAGUUUAAGGGUAUUCUAGAUAGCUCUUGAUCUUGAAAUUUUCGAGAUGGGGUUUUGUUUCUUUGAAUGAAUUAGGAUGCUGGCUAUUCUAUGAUGAUUUACCAAUAGUUGGUUUUGUGAAGGGUUUAAUAUUUUCAUGAAUUAGGUGUAUUUUUGGUGGAAGUAUAAAAUUCAUCCAUUGGUUUGGUACUGACUGGCUUGGUUUUGCUAACCAUAGAUGUUCGUCGUUGAGAUUCUCUGCUUGAUGGUUUUAGAGGUUUUGUAACUGUUUAUUCGUUUUCCAUUUUCCCAUAUCCUUCAUCACAUGAAAAGUUUAGGAACAUGUGAGAUAUCUCAUAAAAGGUGUUGCAGUCAUUAACUUGCAUUAAGUGAAGUUGGGACUUGGGAAGAUACUCGCGUCACAUAUAUGAGACGGCUGAAGUACUUAAUGGUCGGUUUGGCCAAAACCAAGCUGAACCAAGAUCUUUCAGUUUGUCGGUUGGUUUAUUGGUUAAUCAAAG